GGCUUUGCGCGGUGGCGAUAUCGUAACCAAUGGGGUUCUAUCGAGGUGCGAUUAUUGCUAGUUUAAAACAAUAUGGGGAAGAGUUGAGCGAGAGAAUGGUAGUUUCGAAAUCUUUUUUCCAGGACCUUUUUCGUAAUUGAAAGCAAU
This is a small nuclear RNA of Bombus pyrosoma, 147 nucleotides long. RefSeq annotates it as U4 spliceosomal RNA. The transcript has a single exon. The record is from RefSeq and is a predicted model, not a curated record. NCBI's taxonomy places the organism in Eukaryota, Metazoa, Arthropoda, Insecta, Hymenoptera, Apidae.